UACUCUCACAUCAUGUAAAAUCACCAUUCACGACAGCGUAUUAAGAUAAAACAACUGAUUGUAUUGAUCUUUUCAACAGGAUGAUUAUCGCACCAACAAUAAGCACGCUCUUAUUAUAGAGGGGUGCUGUUAUUGUCAUCGUUCAUAUGUAUUUUUUAUGUAUUACUACGCUGAGGAAUAAACCCCACAAAUUUCACCUAGGGCUGCUGGGGCUGUAUGACCCAAAUCAAAGUCACUAACGUAUUCAACUUGCUCUAACAGGUGAUAAUUGUCGAAUCGGCCCCCGAUGAACAACGAGUUGAAUAUGAACGACGUUGAAUAUUCACAAAUUUGCGAUGCCGGUGGGUCGUCGAACCUUGGAUAUGGUUCACCGGCCUAUGUUACCGGAUGGAUGUACGUCAAUCAAAAUAGUCAAAUGUGUGGUCCUUACAUUCAGCACCAGCUGUACGAGGGUUUAUACACUGGUUUUUUGCCGGAGGAGCUCCCUGUUUACCCCGUCCUGAACGGGAAUCUCCUCAAUCCUGUGCCCCUCAACUACUUUAAGCAAUUUCCUGACCAUGUUGCCACCGGCUUUGUUUACUUAAAUGUGCCUGCCCCUCGCGUAAAAGAGUCUAGAAAUGAUUGCCAUAGUUCCAAUGACCAGAAACUAAUCCCUGAGAAGAGCGAUAUAGAUAUAGAGUUCCCACUGUCAGGAGAUGAAUCUUGCUGGCUGUUUGAGGAUGAGGAGGGAAGAAAGCAUGGACCACACUCCCUGACUGAGCUUUACUCAUGGUGUCACUAUGGACAUAUCCGUGCUUCACUAUUGAUAUAUCAUGCUGAUAAUAAGUACAAACCCUUGGAUUUGGAGUCACUGUUAAACACUUGGAGAGCAGCUAGACAUGGAGCUGUAUUUGGGCAUGACAUGAAUGACCAACUCACUGGCUCAGCAUUUAACUUGAUAUCUGAGAUUUCUGAAGAAGUUUGUUUGCAGCUUCACUUUGGGAUCAUGAAAACAGCACGUAAAGUUGUACUUGAUGAGAUAGUUAGCUGCAUGAUUUCUGAUUCUCUUGCCACCAAGAAAAGUAACAAGAAUCAUAACAUUGAACCACUUAUUCACUCUGCCAAAUCCUGUUGUUCUUAUCGCAGAAUGUCUGAAGAAUGUCAAGUGAGGAAUGAACAUGUUGUUGUUGGGGAUGAAGUAGAAGUAUGUAAUACUGUUGAGGAAAGAUGUAGUAGUGAAACAAUGAGAUCUCCUCCCAGCAUGAAAUCAGUUGGAGGCUUUGAUAACUUUUGUGCUGCAUAUAUCGCUGUUAGCAGGACGCUCUUUGAUUCUUGUUUGCAAGUCAUGUGGAAUGCAAUCUUUUAUGAUCCUGUAACUGAGUAUACAUCCACGUGGAGAAACAUGAAACGGUGGCCUCCCCAUUGUUAUGUUGGUGAGCAAUGCAUUUCAUCCAAACAGUUCUCUGUGCAGAGAACAAAGCUACCAGCAUACCAUCUAAUAGAAGAACAAGACUCCUCCAGCGCUGAGGUGGAUUGCCCUCCUGGUUUUGAACCAGUGAGAACUGCAAUAGAUGUACAAUUGCAGUCGCCAUCAGUUUCUUCACCUUUUGAGAGACAAAAGUCUUCCAAAGGAAAUGUUUUGAGCUCUGAUACUAUUUAUGGUGACAUGGAGGUCAUCUUGGAAUAUAUACUGGAUAACCUUCAUUCAUCUUCAAAGUUGUCGUUGGUAGAUUACUUUAAGAGAUUUGUGGAUGAGGAAGUGAAGAAGGUGGUUGAUUUUCCAAAAAGUAGUCAUAAGAAAGAGGUAACUCUAUACUCCUCUCAUCUGCCCAACCAUACAGGUGGAUACAAUUCUGAGAAAAUCCCAACACUUCUAUUCUCAGAUGAUCGCCAACAUCCACCUCAAUUAGUAAAAAAUCGGUCAGAUCAGAGUGUAAUUCACUGUCAUGAAGUUUCUAUGACAACUUUAUCGAAGAGUGCAUUUCAAAAACUGCCAAUGCAUUUAGAUGAUCCAACUGGUAUUGAAGUAGAUGAACUGUGUCCAGCUCUAUCCGAGGAAAGUAUGGAAGAAGAUGUUCUGUUACAUUUCUCCAAGCGCCCUUUCCAGAAAUUGACUAUGCAUUUAGAUGAUGCUAGUACUAUUGCAGUUAUUGAUGAAUUGCGCCCACCUCAAUCUGAGGAAAUUAUUGAACGUUGUGCUUUAUCACAAAUUGGACAAGUGCAAUCAUUUAAACUAGAUGGGCAUGCUUGGAAAACCACUUUCCAGGUUGCAUUGAUGAUAAGCCGGUUGAGGAUAUAUGACUAUGUCAUGAAAAAAUUCGAAUCUUUAUGUGAUGAUGCUAUUGAGAAAGCUAUAACAGCGACAUGCUCUUUUAGGAGAUAUGAAUCACCCAAUAAGGUUACUGUGCGUUGCAUGAAUAAAGAAAAACCUGAUGAUGGAGAGAGAUAUUCUGAAGUAUCUUUAUUGAAAGAAGAAUACACAUAUUCUCGGAGGAGAAAGCUGGGUGGUAAAAAAUCAGAUUCAUUUUUUGUCUCCCUGACUAUGGGAGAGACUGAUCAUCUGAACCGAGCAUCCAAAAGGUCAAGGAGAUCUUAUACCCUUAAAACUAUUCCUCAGGCUGCUCAAGUUCAAAAUAUGAUUCCUCAUUUAGAGCAGGGUCCAGAAAAUGGCAGUAACAAGCCAUGUGCUAAUGUUAGUAUCCUUGGGGAAAAGGGAUCAUCCAUGCACAAUUGUAGUUGGAGAUCAGAGAAAGUUGCUCGUGCUUUUCAAGAUGAUUCAAGCAGCAAUACACGGAAUACAUCCUUUUUCAUCAAAGACCAGCACAAUCUUGAGAGGAUUACUUGUGCCAAAAAUCUGGAAUUGAAUUCUUUGGAUUUUGAAGCUACUGGCAGCACCACCAAAAUGCCAAAAGCAACUAAGGUCUCAAAACUUAAAAGGAAGCAACUGAUUGAUGAUACGCAAAAUUUGCGACCAGGGAAAGUCCAGAAACUAGCAAAUGGCGUUGCAAAACAAUCACUAUGUAAACAAGUUGAUGUACAUAAGAUCAAGAGAAAUAAGUCGAGGAUAGCAAGACCUUGUCCCCAGUCAAAUGGUUGUGCUAGGUCGUCUAUGAAUGGCUGGGAAUGGCGUGAAUGGGCUUUGACUGCUAGUCCUACAGAAAGGGCUCGUAUCCGGGGUAGUCGCCCGCAUUCUCAAUAUAUUAAUUCUGAGUGUAUUGGUUCUCAUUCAUCGAGUUUUAAGGGACUUUCUGCGAGAACAAACAGGGUUAAGUUGCGUAACCUUCUUGCUGCCGCAGAGGGUGCCGAUCUUCUUAAAGCAACACAGUUGAAGGCAAGGAAAAAACGUUUGCGUUUCCAGCGAAGCAAGAUACAUGACUGGGGUCUUGUUGCGCUGGAACCAAUCGAGGCAGAGGACUUUGUUAUUGAAUAUGUUGGAGAACUUAUUCGCCCUCGUAUAUCUGAUAUACGUGAGCGCCAAUAUGAGAAGAUGGGAAUUGGGAGUAGUUAUCUUUUCAGAUUGGAUGAUGGUUACGUGGUUGAUGCUACAAAGCGCGGAGGGAUUGCUAGAUUUAUAAAUCAUUCUUGUGAGCCUAACUGCUACACGAAGGUCAUUAGCGUUGAGGGGCAGAAAAAGAUUUUCAUAUAUGCUAAGCGGCACAUAUCUGCUGGUGAAGAACUCACUUACAAUUACAAAUUCCCAUUGGAGGAGAAAAAGAUACCUUGCCACUGCGGUUCUAGAAGGUGCCGCGGGUCACUGAACUGAAGGUUGAGGAGUUUAUAACAGGCCUCCAUGAACUGGGUAAUAUAUCUAGAGUUGACAUUUUGUCAUGUUCUUUCCAAGGUUAUUAACUGCGGCAGCAUGCUGCGACUUGACUCCAUGGCAUUAUUGCAGGAUGUCCUUUUCAUGCCAAUCGUUAAUGAUGAUGACAUUUACCCAACGAAUGUGCAUAUUCUUGUAGAUAUCUCUCAGUUGCAGAUGAGUUUCUCCUCUUAAGAACUGAAAGUUAGUUGUUUUUCUUCAUUAAUUUAGGGAUAGUUUGGAAAUCAAUGCCAUGUACAAACAUACCGACAAUUUUCAAAUAUUUCAUAAUAUACAAAAGAUUUGUUAUUUGGUAGGUAUAAAAGAACAUCCUCUCACACAGGGUGGUUGCACACAGUCAUGCUCUCACAGAAGAUUGCAAAAUUGUAUGGUUCGCUGAAACAAUUUACAAUGGGUAAUAUGAAUUUUUAAGAAUGAAUCAAUCCUAUUUGCUAUAUUUGCUUCCUGUGUUGAGAUUGCGAUGAUUGUUCAUAUGUGUCUUACUUGGGAACUUGAAGUUGAUCUUGGCCUAUUCCAGUAUCCCGGGUUAUCUACUAGUUGGGCCUGUCACUCUGGUGUGAAAAUUACGGUUUCCUGCCUUCCAAUUAUCAUACAAGCGUGAUCUUAAGUCUUAACGGUAUGAUUAUUUUGUAAGAGACUCCUUAUUGUCCUAUGGAUUGUGUUCAAUAAUUUGCAUGAGUUCAACAACCUGUGCAUCUCAAAUUUUUGCAUCCAGGAUUUGGGUUUGGGUGCUCAAAAGUGACUGAGAUGAUAAAUGCCCAAUUUGUUACAAUAGAUCACUUGCUCGGUGACAUGAUUGGCACAAUUACAUAGCUUUUAAGUGCAAUUUCCAUUGCAAAUGCUGAUAGUAGCGGUUCGCAAUUUGUACAUGCAAUUUCCAUUCCAAAUGCUGAUAGUAGGGUUUCGCAAUUUGUACGUGGCGUAUUGGUUGCUGAAUUAACUUAAAGUGUGAUGACCAAGUUUUCUUCAACAAUACAUGGAUGGUGCAAGUCCCAAUUAUUUCCUUUUCUUUUUCAAUUUUAUAUUGCGCAGGGAGAAGCAAGUAGUCUGUAGACAUGCGAAAUGCUUAGUGGAUUGUAUGUCGAGGCUUCUGGUAUGUGUCUCCUACUUCUUUAUCUACUACUUAGCGAGUGCCCAAUGAUUUUUAGUGGCAGACCCUAAUGAAUAUCAGAAGCAUCUGGAAAUUUUUUGUUGCUUUCAAUAUUAAUGUUACAAAUAGUCACUUCCUUUAAGGAAAAGGGGAAAGGAUCUUGUCAGAGCACGUCAUGAGAGUUGAAAAGCGCAGAACUGAUUAGGUGGUUAAUUAGGGGGCUACUCUGUUAAGGCGAUCAUGCGAGAGUACGUCAUGAGAGUUGAAAAGCGCAGAACUGGUUAGGUGGUUAAUUAGGGGGCAGCUCCGUUAAGACGAUCUUGUGAGAGUACAUGAGAGUUGAAAAGCGCAGAACUGAUCAGGUGGCUAAUUAGGGGCUGCUCUGUUAAGACAAAUCUUGUCAGAGUAGUCAGGGUACACCAUAAGACUUGAAAAGUGCAGUUUUGAUUAGGUGGUUAAUUAGGGGGCUAGUCGGUUAAGACGGGACUGGCCAAGUGUUAAAGGGUACUCUUCUGUCGCAACUGGUUACGAGUGCUCUUGCUUGCCUUGAGACUUAGAGAUCAUGUGCUGUGGUUGUACUGUGGCACAUUCUAAUGCGCUCUGGGAUGCCAUAUCAUUUUCAUUACUUAUUACCCGACAAAAUAGGAACAGAAGUGUUAGUUAAGUUUUAUAUAGCUAUGAGGUUUCACACAUACGCAUAUGCAACAUCCAAGGAUACAAAUCACAUGUUUCAUACGAGAUAAUGCGCAUUCAAAAAGAGUUACUUUUUGUUUCGGAAGGCUAAUACUUCCUUUUGAUUUCUCAUUUAAACAUGAGGAAUAAUUAUUUCCUUGAAAUUCUUUACAGAUUAUAAUAAAAAAAGCUCCCUCCCUUACCCCAAAAUUGAAAUAUCAUAAUACUAUAUUCUGUCCAGUUUAUUCCUUUUCAUUUCUCAUUUAACCAUUGGGAAUAAUUAUUUCCUUGGAAUUCAUUACAGAUUAUAAUAAAAAUAGCUCCCUCCGUUACCCCAAAAUUGAAAUAUCAUAAUACUAUAUUAAGUCCCGGUCUGCCUUUGUGCAUUUAUAUUGGAUAUUGUAUGUUAAUAUAAGUUUAUCUGUAGAGGUACAUAUUCAUAUACUUAGAUCUAUUAUAUGAAUGCAUGUGUAACUAUAGGUGUAGCGUGUAUGAGUUGACCUUUCUUGAUCGGAAAAAUAUGUGAAAGCACAUUUUUAACAUAUAGUUUAUAGAUUUCAUAAUAUUUUUUAUUAUUUGCAGAUAUCGGUGGAUAUUAAAAUGUUGUUAUAAGUUAUUCUGCAUGUGAGCAUUUGUAAAUGCAUAUUGUAAUGUGUUGUAGUAAAGUCAAAUUUCUAAAUAUAAUUUUUUGGAACAGAAAAGUCAAGUUUACAUUUUACAUUAUUGGUACUGGGCAUACGUAGUUAUGUUGAUUGUGUACAGUCGUUGUAGUUGGUACUUAGUACUACGAAGAAGGAUAUCAUACUCACCACAAAUUAAUUUCUUUUUAUACUAGUCCAACUAUGUAAAUUAGUGAACAUAACAGAAUGGAAACAUCGCUUAAUCUUUUGACUUGUCUUCAUACUGUGGCAAAACAAUUGAUCCUGAAAGGAUAUAAUAUACAUUAUUAGUAUUAGGCAUUUGUACUUGAUUUUGUGCGUCGGUUUUAGUUGGUACUUGGUGCUACAGAUAAGGAUAUAAUUUAGCACAUACUAAAUCUUUUAUCAUAGUCCAACUAAGUAAUUAGCGAACCGAUGUAAGGAUCGCUUAAUUUUCUGACUUGUCUCCAUUUACUCUAGCAAAACAAUUGCAUCUGAAAGAGAUCUGCCAUGUUACAAACAUUGUGAUAAUGCUUAAGUUCAAGAAUGAUGCUGCAACGUGGAUGAUGUUGAUAAUGAUUAAUUACCAUAAACAGGGGCAUCACUGAAUGUUCACUACAAAAGUUGCAUGUUACGAUAACCAGAUGAAACUCAAUUCUCCGUAGUAAAAUUCAAUCAAAUAGAUACUUUUGCAUGAGUUUUUUGGACCGACCUUAGCUCAAAUGGAAGAGUAAAGGAUCGGGCAAAACCAGGAAUCAGCACCUGAGUCCAGAUCCUUAGGUUGUCGGUUCGAACCCGGCAGGUCGGAACUUUGUUUGUUAGUAGUUGUGACUUGGCGUUUGUAUUCUGUUGUUCCACUGCCAUUAUCCUUGGAUGAAUGUAACUUGCUGUUUUCUGAUGCUUGUCUACUGGCCAAGAGAAAGCGGUAAUCAUCUAGAUCUGAUGUCGGGAGGAUAUCGACUUCGAGCACAAUUUGAGGUUUUUGUGAAUGUAUCUUGAGGUCCAGGGUUUUCUUCUUUUUUGUUAUUUUUAUUUUUC
This is a non-coding RNA of Sesamum indicum (sesame), 7237 nucleotides long. The record is from RefSeq and is a predicted model, not a curated record. NCBI's taxonomy places the organism in Eukaryota, Viridiplantae, Streptophyta, Magnoliopsida, Lamiales, Pedaliaceae.